GUUCACAUGGUGUCAGAAGUGGGGCGGCGACACGUUUCGCAAGCCGCGUUCACUGCUGUUCUUCCCUGCCCCCUCGUCCAGCUGCACCCCUAGUACACUCCAGAGGAAGAAGUAUGGCGUCGACGGUUCUACCACCACCAAAGCCACUGGAAAGUACGGGUGACGCUUACCAGAACUGGAUCAGCUGGAAAACGCCCUGCCGGAGUGGCCAAACAUGCCAAGGGACGAGCAACUGAAGUCGCCCGUUCAAAGGUUGAUGGGUCGCCAAACAAGGACGCAGUUGCCGGUUCUUCCCCAGCACCUCGAACCGCAGACUGUGCCACCACAAGCGGUUCUCAAUCGCCUCCAGGAAAUAAAAGAAAAGCAGCGGAUCUUCUACAACCGGACGGCCAAGCGUCUACCCCAUCUUCGCAGCGGGUCUCCAGUAUCAGUGUACGACACCAUACGCAGAACCUGGUCGCCAGCUGUGCUAGUAGGCUCUGCAGGCACACCUCGGUCGUACAACCUACUUACAGACAGCGGACAAGAGCUGUGGCGCACCAGGGAGCAUCUCAGUUCCAAAGAAAUGCAACCUACGUCGGACCCUGAAGCUACAGUUUCUGCGGAGUCGGUAUGCCAGCCUGACCAGAUGGCGGAGCUACAAUCUGAGGACACCCUUCGUAGAAGUAACCGCCUGCGUAGACCGCCACAACGUUACCCCCUGCCAGAGAAACCGCAGUAUUAGGUCCCUGACAUGCGAAUUUGUAAUUUUUCUUUUCUCCUUUUCGUUUUCUCUUCGAAAAGAAGGAAGGUGUAAGUAUGCGCACUGUCAUGUUAACACGUGCCCUUACGGUACAGAGUGCGCAUGCUCAUAUUUGUAUAUGUCCCUAUAUAUGCAGCCCCUUCUCUGAUAAUAAACACACUUUGUUCUCUGCCUCC
Long non-coding RNA from Dermacentor andersoni, 918 nucleotides. RefSeq lists it as uncharacterized. NCBI's taxonomy places the organism in Eukaryota, Metazoa, Arthropoda, Arachnida, Ixodida, Ixodidae. The record is from RefSeq and is a predicted model, not a curated record.